RNAcentral lists this non-coding RNA (81 nucleotides) under Bacillus methanolicus MGA3. The record is from RNAcentral. Lineage: Bacteria; Bacillati; Bacillota; Bacilli; Caryophanales; Bacillaceae.
AUUAAGCUAAGUUAGAUUUAAAUCUCCUUAAAACGAAUCCCACUAAAAUCAUCAUAAGAGAAGUAAGUAAAAGCAUAGAAG